CAGAUAUAUUGAUACGUGAUAGAGCUUGGAUUCGAUUUUUUGGAUCAGAAAUCCUCAGAAAACUUAUAUUUUGUCCCCCAAGGGUGGGGCAUUUGCGUCAAUGUAAGUCCCCAAGGGUGGGGAUUUUGUUGCAUUAUUUGGACCCCAUACUGGGGCAUUUGCAACGUUUUUUUCGCCAAAAUGACAAAAGCCCGACAAACGCCCGGAGGGGGGCGGGG
This is a non-coding RNA of Paramuricea clavata, 218 nucleotides long. The record is from the annotation of a GenBank genome assembly. Lineage: Eukaryota; Metazoa; Cnidaria; Anthozoa; Malacalcyonacea; Plexauridae.